Molecule: ribosomal RNA, 319 nt
Filed under: uncultured eukaryote
Lineage: Eukaryota
Description: partial 18S ribosomal RNA
Rfam family: Eukaryotic small subunit ribosomal RNA
Source: RNAcentral
CCCUUAGAUGUUCUGGGCCGCACGCGCGCUACAAUGGUCUUCGCAAACGGAUGCAUUCUCGAAGGAGAAUGCCAAUCUUGGAAUCUAUGCCUUGGUCGGGACAGUUGCUUGCAAUUUUUCGACUCGAACCAGGAAUUCCUUGUAAUCGUGAUUCACCACAUCACGAUGAAUACGUCCCUGCCCUUUGUACACACCGCCCGUCGCUCCUACCGAUCGAAGAGUUAGGUGAAUUGUUUUGAUCGAUAAGAUUUGACUAUGGUCAACUCUCGUUGGGAAAUUCUGUGAAUCUGACUGUUUAGAGGAAGGAAAAGUCGUAACA